Molecule: ribosomal RNA, 1562 nt
Filed under: human gut metagenome
Description: bacterial LSU rRNA
Rfam family: Bacterial large subunit ribosomal RNA
Source: RNAcentral
AGCGCGGAGCACGAGGAAUUCUGCGUGAAUCUGCCGGGACCAUCCGGUAAGGCUAAAUACUCCCGAGAGACCGAUAGCGAACCAGUACCGUGAGGGAAAGGUGAAAAGCACUUCGAACAGAAGAGUGAAAUAGUUCCUGAAACCGUGCGCCUACAAGCGGUCGGAGCUCGUUAAUGAGUGACGGCGUGCCUUUUGCAUAAUGAACCUACGAGUUGCCUUUGCCGGCAAGGUUAAGUGUGACGACACACGUAUCCGAAGCGAAAGCGAGUCUGAAUAGGGCGUAUAGUCGGCAGUGGCAGACGCGAAACCAAGUGAUCUACCCUUGGCCAGGUUGAAGGCUGGGUAACACCAGCUGGAGGACCGCACCAAUAAGCGUUGAAAAGCUUCUGGAUGAGCUGAGGGUAGGGGUGAAAGGCUAAUCAAACUUGGAGAUAGCUCGUACUCCCCGAAAUGCAUUUAGGUGCAGCCUUGCGGGUUACUGAUGUGAGGUAGAGCGACUGAUAAGAUGCGAGGGCUUCACCGCCUAUCAAGUCUUGACAAACUCCGAAUGCGCAUCAGUUCUACCGCAGGAGUGAGGGCAUGGGUGCUAAGGUCCGUGCCCGAGAGGAGAAGAAUCCGGACCACCUGCUAAGGUCCCGAAAUGACAGCUAAGUUAAACUAACGAAGUCUGACUGCUAAGACAGCUAGGAUGUUGGCUUGGAAGCAGCCAUUCAUUUAAAGAGUGCGUAACAGCUCACUAGUCGAGGAGUCGGGCGUGGAUAAUAAUCGGGUAUCAAGUUGUCUACCGAAGCAGUGGGAUCAUUGAUAUGAUCGGUAGGGGAGCAUUCCAGUCAGCGUCGAAGGCGUACCGUGAGGUAUUCUGGAGCGUCUGGAAAAGCAAAUGUAGGUAUAAGUAACGAUAAAGGGGGCGGGAAACCCCCUCGCCGAAAGACUAAGGUUUCCUGAUCAACGCUAAUCGGAUCAGGGUCAGUCGGGUCCUAAGGCUCAGCCGAACGGCGAUGCCGAUGGCAGAAACGGUUAAUAUUCCGUUACUACCUUCAGGAGUGACGUGGAGACGCAGUAGUGACAGUGCCGCCAUCUGACGGAAUAGAUGGUUGAAGGGUGUAGGAGUCGAUCAUGGCAGGCAAAUCCACCAUGAGAUCCGAACCUGAUAGUAUGCCGCGUCCUUCGGGACAAGGCAAUAGUGCGCGUAAGCAUGCUGCCGAGAAAAUCCGCUAAACUUAAUCCUGCAGGUACCCGUACCGCAAACGGACACACGUAGUCGGGAUGAAUAUUCUAAGGCGCUUGAGUGAUUCACGGUUAAGGAACUAGGCAAACUGACCCUGUAACUUCGGGAUAAAGGGUCCCUACCCUUUUAUGGGAGGGCGCAGAGAAUCGGUCCAGGCAACUGUUUAACAAAAACACAGGGCUGUGCCAAAUCGAAAGAUCCAGUAUACAGCCUGACACCUGCCCGGUGCUGGAAGGUUAAGAGGAGAUGUCAUCGAUGAGAGAAGCGUUGAAUUGAAGCCCCAGUAAACGGCGGCCGUAACUAUAACGGUCCUAAGGUAGCGAAAUUCCUUGUC